RNAcentral lists this long non-coding RNA (352 nucleotides) under Fukomys damarensis (Damara mole-rat). RNAcentral describes it as "lncRNA (ENSFDAG00000027942.1)". Lineage: Eukaryota; Metazoa; Chordata; Mammalia; Rodentia; Bathyergidae. The record is from RNAcentral.
GUCUCUGCUGAACCCUCUGCAAGGUCUGGCAGGCUUGCAGGUGAGACAUUAGCUGACGGUCGGCCUGGACCCCAGCCCAGCUGCUGCUGGCCUUUCCUACAUGCUUGCCAACUGCUUCCAAGCGGCCCGACUCAUCUGCUGCUGGUUCCAUCUCCUGCACCUGGCUUGGGAUUCACCUUGGCAGACUGGGUAGGACCCAGCUUUGGCACUGAGCCCCAGUGAAGGCACGUUUUUAAACGCAAUCUUCUACACAACAGCAGUAACUGGAUCCCGUAAUGAGACAAAGAGGUGCCGUUCACACAAACAGAGAAAUACUCACCACCUCACCUGUGCUGAAUGAGAAGUGUGCGAC